Molecule: long non-coding RNA, 722 nt
Organism: Sapajus apella (tufted capuchin)
Lineage: Eukaryota; Metazoa; Chordata; Mammalia; Primates; Cebidae
Exons: 3
Source: RefSeq, a predicted model, not a curated record
UGUCAGACAUUAAAUCAUGCCAGGGUACUUCACAGAACCGGAAUGAUAGAGGUUGGUAAGAAAAAAAAUAAGAGGUAUAAUAACAACCUCUUGGAAAAGUAUAAAUUAAAAGAGCAGCCACUGGCUAUCUGAAAGGUCAGAGGAAUGAAAAGACAGUCUUGUGAGAAUCCUUGGUUUCGGAGCGAUGAUGAAAAAGAUGAACAGGGGGUUAAACAUGCCAGCCAAGCUUGCAUAGUCAGUAACCUUACAGCUAAGACUCAAUCCCAGGUUGUCUGACUUUGAAUUUAAAAACUCCCAGGCCUAUUCUGGGGCAACCAGAUCUACAUGUGAUUCUCGUGGGUUUUUGGUUUUAGGUCAUCAUAAAGAACCAGUUUAUAGAAAUCCUUGGAAGUGGAAUAUGUGAUGUCCUUCACUGACUUCAGGCACAUUUUUUGAGCAAACGCUAUGGUAGCACCAGAAAGAACAGUGAGUGAGAGGUGGCCCCAGCGUUCAGGAUAUUGCUUCUGACCUCACUUCCUCAGCUAGAACAUUUGGUGUGUCAGCAGAGCCCAGCAACGACAGAGGGAAAACUAGACACAGUUGCCUGGAAUAAAUAGGAAAUAAGCAAACAAACAAACAAAACCUGCUGUUUCUUCUUUGUAUAACAGUAUAAGCCAAUGAGGGAUUGUAAACUCAGGGAACCACCCCCAGUGCACACACGCUCAACCACACACGGGCUUAAA